This 833-nucleotide ribosomal RNA is filed under the name Cladosporium cladosporioides. RNAcentral describes it as "eukaryotic LSU rRNA". It matches the Rfam family "Eukaryotic large subunit ribosomal RNA", at positions 84 to 943 of the family's 3401-position model. The record is from RNAcentral. Lineage: Eukaryota; Fungi; Ascomycota; Dothideomycetes; Cladosporiales; Cladosporiaceae.
UAACGGCGAGUGAAGCAGCAAUAGCUCAAAUUUGAAAUCUGGCGUCUUCGACGUCCGAGUUGUAAUUUGUAGAGGAUGCUUCUGAGUAACCACCGACCUAAGUUCCUUGGAACAGGACGUCAUAGAGGGUGAGAAUCCCGUAUGCGGUCGGAAAGGUGCUCUAUACGUAGCUCCUUCGACGAGUCGAGUUGUUUGGGAAUGCAGCUCUAAAUGGGAGGUAAAUUUCUUCUAAAGCUAAAUAUUGGCCAGAGACCGAUAGCGCACAAGUAGAGUGAUCGAAAGAUGAAAAGCACUUUGGAAAGAGAGUUAAAAAGCACGUGAAAUUGUUAAAAGGGAAGGGAUUGCAACCAGACUUGCUCGCGGUGUUCCGCCGGUCUUCUGACCGGUCUACUCGCCGCGUUGCAGGCCAGCAUCGUCUGGUGCCGCUGGAUAAGACUUGAGGAAUGUAGCUCCCUCGGGAGUGUUAUAGCCUCUUGUGAUGCAGCGAGCGCCGGGCGAGGUCCGCGCUUCGGCUAGGAUGCUGGCGUAAUGGUCGUAAUCCGCCCGUCUUGAAACACGGACCAAGGAGUCUAACAUCUAUGCGAGUGUUCGGGUGUCAAACCCCUACGCGUAAUGAAAGUGAACGGAGGUGAGAACCGCAAGGUGCAUCAUCGACCGAUCCUGAUGUCUUCGGAUGGAUUUGAGUAAGAGCAUAGCUGUUGGGACCCGAAAGAUGGUGAACUAUGCCUGAAUAGGGUGAAGCCAGAGGAAACUCUGGUGGAGGCUCGCAGCGGUUCUGACGUGCAAAUCGAUCGUCAAAUUUGGGUAUAGGGGCGAAAGACUAAUCGAACCAU